UAUUCCUCUAACUUACCUCACAUGCCUCUUCACAGGUGGCCUCUCAUCCGGUCACAUCAGACUGCUUUCCCUUUAUGCCACUGGACAGUUUAUUCCCUCUGCCUGGAAUGUCCUUUCCUCUUCUUCUGUUGCCUAAUUUCAUAUUGUUCGUGACUGGAUGUUGAUGUCCGAUGACACCUUGAAAGUCCCAUUUGAAGACGAGCCUGGGUCCCUGAAUGACUACAUGAGCCACAGCUGUUCCAGCCACUCUCCUCCACCGAAUCUUUACGAACAGAACUGGAGACACAGCAAUGAAUGUGACUCAUGAAGUGGGAGAAAGACACAACUGUUUGUGUGAUAAAGGCAAACCCUUUUGAUGAUGAAUCCAAUGACUAAUGAGCGGGCCUGGACCCUGAUUGCUCUGCACAACUUUGCAGUGAAGUGGGGGUGAGGUUCACAUGAAGCACCAUGCGCAAUAUGGUAGGUGGGGUACAGCUAAGGUUUACAUGACCAGAUUCCUAUGUCCAGAUGACUGAGGAUUUUACUACCUUAAAUCACUUUUUGGACUAUGGAAAUAAUAAAUAUACAGAAGAAUAAUUUUAAAAAGGAACCUGAAGCAAAAGGUAGCUACUGUACAGUGUUAAAUUCAAUAUACUUUUUAUUACUUGCAGUUUUUCCAUCAACAUCAACAUAUACUAAUUGAAACUUCAGGCAGUGCAGCUUGGUCGGUUAAGAGCAUUUGUGGUGUUUCAAUGCUGAUUUUGGCACUCAUUGGCAGACUGAACUCUGGCAAUUGACUCAACUUUUCUACCCCUCAGUUUCAUCACCCCUAAAACAAAGAUGGUAACAUAGGUCUUGUUCAGUGUCAUGAGAACUACUGCUGCAAAGUGCAUACAAUGUGGAUGGUCCAUAGAAGAGUGCUAAAGAAACUUGAGAUGCACCACCUGGUACAAUGGUUUAGGAACACAGGUGAAUUUAUUUUACAUGAAUUAAAUCACACCUAAGGAGCUCACGUGGGAAUCCUGCUCAGAACGUUCUUCAUGACUCUGUGCCCUACAGUGAGCAUGCGAAGAGAGGCAUAAACCUGAAACUCUUUGAGUAAGCCUUGAUCUCUACAUGCCUCUCACGGCCACGUUGAGCGUGAUUCUGGUGUAUGAAGGAGCAUAUUUUACAUACAACAUGGCCACUGAGGAUAAGAAAAGUACUUUGUCUAAUGCUCAACAGGAAUUUGUUCCAGUGUUAAGGGGAAAUUCAGAAGUGUUGGAUUUACUGAGAAGUAAUAUAUCAAUCUCCAUCAAGUCCCUUUCCCAAAAGGUUCUGAAAAGUAAUUUUGUCUCUGCACUGUUUUUAAAAAUAAAGCUCUGAA
Balaenoptera musculus (blue whale) is the source of this 1345-nucleotide long non-coding RNA. RefSeq lists it as uncharacterized. The transcript is spliced from 3 exons. NCBI's taxonomy places the organism in Eukaryota, Metazoa, Chordata, Mammalia, Artiodactyla, Balaenopteridae. The record is from RefSeq and is a predicted model, not a curated record.